This 253-nucleotide ribosomal RNA is filed under the name uncultured bacterium. RNAcentral's name for it is "partial 16S ribosomal RNA". It matches the Rfam family "Bacterial small subunit ribosomal RNA", at positions 524 to 776 of the family's 1533-position model. The record is from RNAcentral.
UACAGAGGGUGCGAGCGUUAAUCGGAAUUACUGGGCGUAAAGCGCGCGUAGACGGUUUUGUAAGUCAGAUGUGAAAUCCCUGGGCUCAACCUGGGAACUGCAUUUGAGACUGCAUGGCUAGAGUAUGGAAGAGGGAAGUGGAAUUUCCGGUGUAGCGGUGAAAUGCGUAGAUAUCGGAAGGAACAUCAGUGGCGAAAGCGGCUUCCUGGACCAGUACCGACGUUCAGGCACGAAAGCGUGGGGAGCAAACAGG